AAAAAAAUCAAAACAUUCAGCAUCCACUACCACUUCUGUAGUUAUUUUUGGUUUAAUUAUAAAAAGAAAGAAACGGACAUGGCGCCUGCGGUGUACUGGUCUCAUGAAGAGACUGAGGCACUUAUUGCAGUGUAGUUGGAGGAAGAAAUACAGGACUGGAGGAAACAUUUCAAUAUGAGAAAGUCUACAGGGAAGUGUCAGGUCGACUGGCCGCCAUGGCGAUGAGUUGCUCUGUGAAACAGUGCAGGGAGAAGAUAAAGAAGCUGAAACAAGAAAACAGGAAAGUAAAACAACACAGUGAAAGAAGUAUGGCUUCAAGUUCUAUGACGCAAUGGAGGCUACCAUGAGACAGAACAGUCAUCCACCAUGAUCCCUGAAUUCAGACGUGGAAACGGAUGAAACUCAGUGGUUGCCUGAUGAAGUCCAAGUGCUGAUGACCUUCUGGGCACAGCCAAACAUUCAGAAACCACUUCUCACCACAGCAACACACAAUCAAGUCUUUUAUCAGCAGUGAUUGGUGAGGUUUAACAAGACCACACAUCAGGGAAUAACCUUAAAGAGGAGUACAGGAAAAUCCAGGAAGCGGAACCACACGGGGGGGGGGGGAUGUUAGAAACGACUGGUUUUCUGUUUCGGACAGUGUCCUUGGCCCCGGUGAAGAGACUUCUACAGAGGGGGAUUCAUCCGCAUGAUGCGCUGCGGGCUGUUUGGACAUCAGAUGAAGUGCUGCUCAGCCGAUGGGCAAAGGGGAGCGUCCAGGAGCCGCUUCGAUCAGCUGAGCUCCGAGCUCGCCGCUCAGGGCUCUGGUAAAACUGCCAGCCAGUGCAGGUCAAAACAUAAAACUGCUGAAACAAAAGUAGAGAAAGAUUAAGGAACAGAAGGGACCUUGGUUUCUACAGACGUUCCAGCAAGACCUUUCUGAAACAGUGGACUUGUUAACUGCUGUAGUCAAAUUAGUCACAUGCUUUUCUGUAAAUGUGUGAUGCAGUAUGUGAUCUGUAUUUUUAUUUUUGAAAAAUAAAUGUGGCCUUUCUGAGAAAAGUAGAUAGUAGUCUGUGCUAAAAUAAAAUAAAGUCUAAAAAGGCAUUGAAUUCAUUAAUCUAAAAAUAAGGCCUUAAUUGGUAUUAAAAUGUCUUAAAUCAAUUUUUCAAAACUCUUAAAAAUGCUAACAUGGGAAGUAUAAUGCAAUUAAAAAAUCUGGAAAUAAUUGUUAA
Cottoperca gobio is the source of this 1214-nucleotide long non-coding RNA. RefSeq lists it as uncharacterized. NCBI's taxonomy places the organism in Eukaryota, Metazoa, Chordata, Actinopteri, Perciformes, Bovichtidae. The transcript is spliced from 3 exons. The record is from RefSeq and is a predicted model, not a curated record.